CAUGGUGUCUGGGUUUGGGG
RNAcentral lists this unclassified non-coding RNA (20 nucleotides) under Chlamydomonas reinhardtii. RNAcentral describes it as "small RNA Cre_0990". The record is from RNAcentral. Lineage: Eukaryota; Viridiplantae; Chlorophyta; Chlorophyceae; Chlamydomonadales; Chlamydomonadaceae.